UAAAAGUAAUAAUAGUAGAAAACUCCCAUGGUUUCCGUUUCUUCCCUAUCUUGUAUCUGCAUUUUUUAAACCUUUGCUUUCCUUCAACUAAAAAAGGGAAGCCCGGUGCACUAAAGCUACCGUUAUGUGCGGUGUCCAAGGAAGGACCCCACCACAAGAGUGUAUCGUAUGCAGCCUUACCUUGCUUUCUGUUAGAGGCUGUUUCCAAGGCUUGAACCGGUGACCUCCUGGUUACAUGGCAGCAACUUUACCGGUUACUCCAAGGCUCCCCUUCUUUGCUUUCCUUCAACUGAUCUUAAAAAUUUCUGGUUCACUUUUGAUUCCUCUGAUAAUUUUAAAGAUUUAAAUUUUCCGUUGUUGUAAUUUUGUUUGACUUGAGCAGUAAAUCUUGAAAGUUGGAAGCUGUGACAAAGUUCAGGUCUUGCUCUCUUAGUACCUAAGUGCUUCACCAAUUCUGUCAAUUUCUGAAAAAAAAAAACUAAGGAUUUUAUUCAUUUGGGGCUUUAAGAAAGAGUCAGCUUUUAUACCUUUUGACUACCCAACUUUGAUUUUUUGUUUUUUUUUUUUAGUUAAUAAUGGACUGUCAUCAAGUAGUCAGUAUGGAAAAAUCCCUUGUACCAAUUAAACACUUGCCAGCACAAUAUACUUUUUCUGGAGACGCAACUACUGCACAUAUGGAGGACAACCAGUAAUCAAAGUUAUGGAGGGAAUGGAAUAAAGCAGAUACUUUCACACAGGAAAUCAGCCUGUUCCAAAGAACUUUAGCCCCUCCAAUUAACCAAUUAACUAAUAUCAGGGAACCAACCUCAAUUACAAUCUUUUCAAUAUGGUACUGUCACAUUCGCAAAAAAAAGUAGUUCAACACUGAUAUAACAUAACUGUGUUUGCUUCUUCACCAAUACUGAAAAUGUUCAACUCUUACACAAAAACUUCAACCAAAAAAUGACGUUACAUUUUGCUACACAUUCCUGUUAAACUUUCCAUUUUCACGUAUAAACUGUUCUUCAAAAUACUGGUUCUUUUCAAUUUUAUUGUGCAACAGGUUUCAUUUCAGGCCAAGGAUGCAUACCUUUUUGUUAUCUAUGUAAAUACGAUGUAUAUAACCUCUUGUAAAACUUGGCUUCAUGAUAAAUACUAUGUAUGAAGUAAAU
Molecule: long non-coding RNA, 1151 nt
Filed under: Capsicum annuum
Lineage: Eukaryota; Viridiplantae; Streptophyta; Magnoliopsida; Solanales; Solanaceae
Description: long non-coding RNA (CANN_LNC001190)
Source: RNAcentral